RNAcentral lists this long non-coding RNA (1027 nucleotides) under Medicago truncatula (barrel medic). RNAcentral describes it as "long non-coding RNA (MTRU_LNC004427)". The record is from RNAcentral. Lineage: Eukaryota; Viridiplantae; Streptophyta; Magnoliopsida; Fabales; Fabaceae.
CUUGUUCAAGGAUGGAAGAGGAUCCAUAAGCAAGAUCUGAGUCUUGACAAUUGAAAAUUGAUCAUUCAAUCCAAUGAGGAAUUGCAUGAUUUGGUCUUCAACACGAUAAACGUGAGCAAGAGUUGAAGCUUAGCAACGACAUUGAUGAAUGCAAGAACAAUUAGGAAGAGGUCUAUGUAAAUUAAGUUCUUCCCAAAGUGAGCGCAUUUCAAUGAAGUAUUUUUACCUCCUUGCUUUAGAUUGUUGAUGCAAGAACGAAGACUAGAAAUUCUGAUUCUAUCAGCUUUUGAAAAUCUCUCUUUCAGGUCCUCCCAAACAUCUAAAGCGUAAUCGUGAAAAACAAUAGUUUAAGCAAUGGAUUCAGAAACUGAAUUGAUAAUCCAUGAAUGAAUUAGAUGGUUGCACCGUUCCCACCUGCUCUGUUCAAAUCCAAAGCUUCAGGUUGUUGAAUAGCGUCAUUGAUGAAGGCGAGUUUGUUCUUCACUUCCAACGCGCGAUUCAUCGACCGACUCCAAGCUAAGUAAUUUGAGCCAUUGAGCUUGGGAAUGAUCUUAAUAGAAUUUGGUCCUUCGCUCGGAUGAACGUUGAAAACCAAUUCUACAUCUUGUUGCGGUGCAGCUUAAAUGAUGAUAGGAGCUUGACAAGGAGGCAUGAUUCAAUUGAGGAAUCAAAAAAAUCAAUGCGUAAAAACACAAAAUUCAAGGAGUAGAAAGAGAAGAAAAGAGAUGAAAAUCACCGAUUGAAACAAGAAAAAGGAAGUAGAGAAGCAAAGAGGUAGAAGAUGAAGAAUGCGGCGGAAACAACCGUAACAGAAAACAGUUAGGAUCGGAACUUCUCUCUCAUGAGAGAGAAAUCUGAUACCAUAUUAUGAGAAAUGAAUGAAACUCUUAAUUCUCAUUAGAUGAAAAGAGUGCAGUACAAUGAUAUUUAUACAAAUGAGGGAAAGUAUGCUAAGUACUGUGAACUAGAAACUAGAGAAUUGCUACUCUACUGGAUAACUUGCUCCACAAGUUAUCUCUAAUAGUAA